CCUACGGGAUGCUGCAGUGGGGAAUAUUGGACAAUGGGCGAAAGCCUGAUCCAGCCAUGCCGCGUGUGUGAAGAAGGCCUUCGGGUUGUAAAGCACUUUCAGUGGGGAAGAAAGCCUUGGGGCUAAUACCCUCGAGGAAGGACAUCACCCACAGAAGAAGCACCGGCUAACUCCGUGCCAGCAGCCGCGGUAAUACGGAGGGUGCGAGCGUUAAUCGGAAUUACUGGGCGUAAAGCGCGCGUAGGCGGUCUGAUAAGCCGGUUGUGAAAGCCCCGGGCUCAACCUGGGAACGGCAUCCGGAACUGUCAGGCUAGAGUGCAGGAGAGGAAGGUAGAAUUCCCGGUGUAGCAGUGAAAUGCGUAGAGAUCGGGAGGAAUACCAGUGGCGAAGGCGGCCUUCUGGACUGACACUGACGCUGAGGUGCGAAAGCGUGGGUAGCAAACAGGAUUAGAUACCCCAGUAGUC
This 465-nucleotide ribosomal RNA is filed under the name Vreelandella stevensii. RNAcentral's name for it is "partial 16S ribosomal RNA". It matches the Rfam family "Bacterial small subunit ribosomal RNA", at positions 338 to 795 of the family's 1533-position model. The record is from RNAcentral. Lineage: Bacteria; Pseudomonadati; Pseudomonadota; Gammaproteobacteria; Oceanospirillales; Halomonadaceae.